Long non-coding RNA from Chiroxiphia lanceolata (lance-tailed manakin), 115 nucleotides. RefSeq lists it as uncharacterized. Lineage: Eukaryota; Metazoa; Chordata; Aves; Passeriformes; Pipridae. The transcript has 3 exons. The record is from RefSeq and is a predicted model, not a curated record.
GCAGUUUUUGGGGUUAAAAAUGCAGAUUUUUGGGGUCUGGGGACAGAUUUUGAGAUAAAAAAGGCAGAUUUUGUGGUGUGGGAGGAAAUUCUGAGGUAAAAAUUGCAGAUUUUGA